AUCCCCUUACUAUUCAUAAAAAAUGUGCCAAAUUCCUUACAGAACGGCUUCAAAAAAUAGUAUGUGUAGGGAAAAACCAAAAGUUUAUUAUUUUCCGGUGUAGGGUAAGAAUAUUCAAUAAAAGUAUCCGUUUUUGAAGAAAAAAGUCUAUUCCAAAAUCCGAGCCAAAAUCCCAAUGCUGUGCUUGGCAAAUAUGUCAUCCUGUAUAUAUAAGGUAUGACUGAACUACAGUUGACGGUUCAUACAGCAUACAGUGCACAUUUAGUAUAGUCACUCGGAGAGAAAUUGAUCAGCCUACCUCCAUCUGUUGAUUGAAAAUGUUGGAGCAAGUGCAUGGUGGAAACUUUGGUAACUUCUUUCACGGAAACUAACAACUAAAAAUAGUCCCUUGAUAACAGUGAGUAUAGAGAAUCAGAAAAGGCGUCCAUGAAAACUGUAAACGAGUCAGAUAAGCAAAAAAAUAACCAGACACAAACCAAAGCCAGAGCAAACAAUGAAGCUAUAUUAUUGAAGCAUGAGAAAAAAUUCCCCCAAGACCAGUGGAAUCAAUUGCGUGUCAGCAGCAGUCUGCUAAAUAACCAAAAAACGAAUAGUAUAAUUGACAACCAACAAACAUCUGAAGCAAAACCUGUGAAUAAUUUAGUAAGAAAUAACCUAUGCAUUAGAACACAUAGUAAACAAAACACAAAGGUAAAGAAUACAAUCAAUGUUAAUUCAAAACGUGACGAGAGCA
Molecule: long non-coding RNA, 733 nt
Organism: Photinus pyralis (common eastern firefly)
Lineage: Eukaryota; Metazoa; Arthropoda; Insecta; Coleoptera; Lampyridae
Exons: 3
Source: RefSeq, a predicted model, not a curated record